Molecule: ribosomal RNA, 443 nt
Filed under: uncultured bacterium
Lineage: Bacteria
Description: partial 16S ribosomal RNA
Rfam family: Bacterial small subunit ribosomal RNA
Source: RNAcentral
CCUACGGGAGGCAGCAGUGGGGAAUAUUGGACAAUGGGCGGAACCCUGAUCCAGCGACGCCGCGUGAGUGAAGAAGGAUUUCGGGAUGUAAAGCUCUAUUAGCAGGGAAGAAAGAAAUGACGGUACCUGACUAAGAAGCUCCGGCUAACUACGGGCCAGCAGCCGCGGUAAUACGUAGGGGCCAAGCGUUACCCGGAUUUACUGGGUGUAAAGGGAGCGUAGACGGCGGUGCAAGUCUGAGGUGAAAGGCGGGGGCCCAACCCCCGGACUGCUUUUGAAACUGUAUGGCUGGAGUGCAGGGGAGGUAAGUGGAAUUCCUAGUGUAGCGGUGAAAUGCGUAGAUAUUAGGAGGAACACCAGUGGCGAAGGCGGCUUACUGGACUGUAACUGACGUUGAGGCUCGAAAGCGUGGGGAGCAAACAGGAUUAGAUACCCCGGUAGUC